GGAAUUCGCCAGAGAUGGCUUAGUGCUCGAAAGAGAACCGUAACACAGGUGCUGCAUGGCUGUCGUCAGCUCGUGUCGUGAGAUGUUGGGUUAAGUCCCGCAACGAGCGCAACCCUUGUCAUUAGUUGCUACAUUCAGUUGGGCACUCUAAUGAGACUGCCGGUGACAAACCGGAGGAAGGUGGGGAUGACGUCAAGUCCUCAUGGCCCUUAUAGGUGGGGCUACACACGUCAUACAAUGGCUGGUACAAAGGGUUGCCAACCCGCGAGGGGGAGCUAAUCCCAUAAAACCAGUCGUAGUCCGGAUCGCAGUCUGCAACUCGACUGCAGUGAAGUCGGAAUCGCUAGUAAUCGUGGAUCAGAAUGUCACGGUGAAUACGUUCCCGGGUCUUGUACACACCGCCCGUCACACCAUGGGAGCGGGUUCUGCCAGAAGUAGUUAGCCUAACCGCAAGGAGGGCGAUUACCACGGCAGGGUUCGUGACUGGGGUGAAGUCGUAACAAGGUAGCCGAA
RNAcentral lists this ribosomal RNA (513 nucleotides) under Variovorax sp. SR3-5a. RNAcentral's name for it is "bacterial SSU rRNA". It matches the Rfam family "Bacterial small subunit ribosomal RNA", at positions 992 to 1504 of the family's 1533-position model. Lineage: Bacteria; Pseudomonadati; Pseudomonadota; Betaproteobacteria; Burkholderiales; Comamonadaceae. The record is from RNAcentral.